AGUCUUAACUGGGCGUUAAGUUGCAGGGUAUAGACCCGAAACCCGGUGAUCUAGCCAUGGGCAGGUUGAAGGUUGGGUAACACUAACUGGAGGACCGAACCGACUAAUGUUGAAAAAUUAGCGGAUGACUUGUGGCUGGGGGUGAAAGGCCAAUCAAACCGGGAGAUAGCUGGUUCUCCCCGAAAGCUAUUUAGGUAGCGCCUCGUGAACUCAUCUUCGGGGGUAGAGCACUGUUUCGGCUAGGGGGUCAUCCCGACUUACCAACCCGAUGCAAACUGCGAAUACCGAAGAAUGUUAUCACGGGAGACACACGGCGGGUGCUAACGUCCGUCGUGAAGAGGGAAACAACCCAGACCGCCAGCUAAGGUCCCAAAGUCACAGUUAAGUGGGAAACGAUGUGGGAAGGCUCAGACAGCCAGGAUGUUGGCUUAGAAGCAGCCAUCAUUUAAAGAAAGCGUAAUAGCUCACUGGUCGAGUCGGCCUGCGCGGAAGAUGUAACGGGGCUAAACUGUGCACCGAAGCUGCGGCAGCGACGCUUAUGCGUUGUUGGGUAGGGGAGCGUUCUGUAAGCCUGCGAAGGUGUCCUGUGAGGGAUGCUGGAGGUAUCAGAAGUGCGAAUGCUGACAUAAGUAACGAUAAUGCGGGUGAAAAGCCCGCUCGCCGGAAGACCAAGGGUUCCUGUCCAACGUUAAUCGGGGCAGGGUGAGUCGACCCCUAAGGCGAGGCCGAAAGGCGUAGUCGAUGGGAAACGGGUUAAUAUUCCCGUACUUGGUGUUACUGCGAAGGGGGGACGGAGAAGGCUAUGUUGGCCGGGCGACGGUUGUCCCGGUUUAAGCGUGUAGGCUGGUUUUCCAGGCAAAUCCGGAAAAUCAAGGCUGAGGCGUGAUGACGAGGCACUACGGUGCUGAAGCAACAAAUGCCCUGCUUCCAGGAAAAGCCUCUAAGCAUCAGGUAACAUCAAAUCGUACCCCAAACCGACACAGGUGGUCAGGUAGAGAAUACCAAGGCGCUUGAGAGAACUCGGGUGAAGGAACUAGGCAAAAUGGUGCCGUAACUUCGGGAGAAGGCACGCUGACACGUAGGUGAAGUGAUUUACUCA
This 1099-nucleotide ribosomal RNA is filed under the name Salmonella enterica subsp. enterica serovar Kentucky. RNAcentral describes it as "partial 23S ribosomal RNA". It matches the Rfam family "Bacterial large subunit ribosomal RNA", at positions 680 to 1773 of the family's 2925-position model. The record is from RNAcentral. Lineage: Bacteria; Pseudomonadati; Pseudomonadota; Gammaproteobacteria; Enterobacterales; Enterobacteriaceae.